AAGCCAAGUCCAGGUCCAGACCUGCGGCUCCACCUCUGGGCUGAGGCGUGUUCUGUCGACACUGAGGACAUGGGAUCCACACCUGGAGGAGGGAGGAGCAGGUCUCAGAUGGCCUGUCUGAUGACCACCGGCUGAUGUUCCACUUCAUCGACAUGAUCAUCAUGACUGCCUGGCUGCUCUACGAGACUGCAGCAGCACUUGGAUGAGAAAAGAGGAACAGAUGAAGCUUCAUACAUUCAAGUUGUAUAUUGCAGAAAGCUUAUGCCAAAGUGACAAGAAUCUGGAGCAUAAGAGAGGUCGUCCCAGUUCCACAGUUGCUGGGGAGUAUGAAGAAAAGAGGAGAAGAGGACCCACUACACCCAUACUGGUCCCUGAUGUGCGUCUGGACACCACAGCCCACUGGAUGGUCAUGGAUGAAAAGAAAGGGAGAUGCAAGGUACCUGGAUGCAAAGGUACACCUAAAGCCAAGUGCCAAAAAUGUGACGUCCACCUCUGUUUCACGUCCACCAGCAACUGCUUCCUAAGGUUCCAUGCAGAAUAAUACAGACUGUGAUUGGU
Monopterus albus (swamp eel) is the source of this 558-nucleotide long non-coding RNA. RefSeq lists it as uncharacterized. The record is from RefSeq and is a predicted model, not a curated record. The transcript is spliced from 2 exons. NCBI's taxonomy places the organism in Eukaryota, Metazoa, Chordata, Actinopteri, Synbranchiformes, Synbranchidae.